ACGGCCCUUACGUCCGGGGCUACACACGUGUUACAAUGGGGGGUACAGAGGGCCGCUACCACGCGAGUGGAUGCCAAUCCCCAAAACCUCUCUCAGUUCGGACUGGAGUCUGCAACCCGACUCCACGAAGCUGGAUUCGCUAGUAAUCGCGCAUCAGCCACGGCGCGGUGAAUACGUUCCCGGGCCUUGUACACACCGCCCGUCAAGCCAUGGGAGCCGGGGGUACCUGAAGUGCGUAACCGCGAGGAGCGCCCUAGGGUAAAACUGGUGACUGGGGCUAAGUCGUAACAAGGUA
Molecule: ribosomal RNA, 295 nt
Filed under: Phocaeicola vulgatus
Lineage: Bacteria; Pseudomonadati; Bacteroidota; Bacteroidia; Bacteroidales; Bacteroidaceae
Description: Bacteroides vulgatus partial small subunit ribosomal RNA
Rfam family: Bacterial small subunit ribosomal RNA
Source: RNAcentral